GUAGUUAGCCGUGGCUUCCUCCUCAGGUACCGUCAUUAUCGUCCCUGAAGACAGAGCUUUACAACCCGAAAGCCUUCUUCCCUCACGCGGCGUUGCUGGGUCAGGCUUGCGCCCAUUGCCCAAUAUUCCCCACUGCUGCCUCCCGUAGGAGUCUGGACCGUGUCUCAGUUCCAGUGUGGCCGUUCAGCCUCUCAGCUCGGCUACCCAUCGUCGACUUGGUGGGCCGUUACCCCGCCAACUAUCUAAUGGGACGCGAACCCCUCCUGAAGCGGAUUGCUCCUUUGACCUCAUCCCGAUGUCGGGUCGUGGUCUUAUGCGGUAUUAGCAACCGUUUCCGAUUGUUAUCCCCCUCUUCAGGGCAGGUUGUUCACGCGUUACUCACCCGUUCGCCACUAAAGUAUCAACCGAAAUCAAUACUUCCGUUCGACUUGCAUGUGUUAGGCACGCCGCCAGCGUUCGUCCUGAGCCAUGAUCAAACUCUGA
Molecule: ribosomal RNA, 483 nt
Filed under: uncultured bacterium
Lineage: Bacteria
Description: partial 16S ribosomal RNA
Source: RNAcentral